RNAcentral lists this ribosomal RNA (54 nucleotides) under Erysiphe magnoliae. RNAcentral's name for it is "partial 18S ribosomal RNA". It matches the Rfam family "Eukaryotic small subunit ribosomal RNA", at positions 1778 to 1831 of the family's 1831-position model. Lineage: Eukaryota; Fungi; Ascomycota; Leotiomycetes; Helotiales; Erysiphaceae. The record is from RNAcentral.
GAAAGUAUAAAGUGUAACAAGGUUUCCGUAGGUGAACCUGCGGAAGGAUCAUUA